ACAAAUCAAAUAACGCUUGAGAGUAUAAUAGUUGGAGAAUGGCCAACGAGUAUCUACCUUUGUCCCUAGACGAAGACUACUCCCUUAAACGAAAACACC
This 99-nucleotide non-coding RNA is filed under the name Weissella ceti. RNAcentral's name for it is "Guanine sequence". It matches the Rfam family "Purine riboswitch aptamer". From Rfam's summary of the family: Riboswitches are metabolite binding domains within certain messenger RNAs that serve as precision sensors for their corresponding targets. Allosteric rearrangement of mRNA structure is mediated by ligand binding, and this results in modulation of gene expression. The record is from Rfam by way of RNAcentral. Lineage: Bacteria; Bacillati; Bacillota; Bacilli; Lactobacillales; Lactobacillaceae.